RNAcentral lists this ribosomal RNA (296 nucleotides) under uncultured bacterium. RNAcentral describes it as "partial 16S ribosomal RNA". It matches the Rfam family "Bacterial small subunit ribosomal RNA", at positions 333 to 627 of the family's 1533-position model. The record is from RNAcentral.
UGUCUCCUACGGGGCGCAGCAGUGGGGAAUAUUGGUCAAUGGGCGCAGGCCUGAACCAGCCAAGUUGCGUGAGGGAAGACUGCCCUAUGGGUUGUAAACCUCUUUUAUAAGGGAAGAAUAAUGACUACGUGUAGUCAGAUGCCCGUACCUUAUGAAUAAGCAUUGGCUAACUCCGUGCCAGCAGCCGCGGUAAUACGGAGGAUGCGAGCGUUAUCCGGAUUUAUUGGGUUUAAAGGGUGCGUAGGCGGUAUUUUAAGUUAGUGGUAAAACGUCGGGGCUUCACCUUGAUUGGCCAU